AUAAAUAUAGAUUAAUUAAAAUCAUUGGUUUGUGAUGCCAAAAAUACUCUUAUGUUAUUUAUA
RNAcentral lists this transfer RNA (63 nucleotides) under Myzostoma seymourcollegiorum. RNAcentral's name for it is "tRNA-His". The record is from RNAcentral. Lineage: Eukaryota; Metazoa; Annelida; Myzostomida; Myzostomatidae.